UGGGUGGCAUGCAUCCCCAGACUCUGGUUGUGUCUGUGCAGAUUGACAGAGGGACAGGCUGGAGACAUGCUGCAGGAACACACCAGAAACCUCCGCCCCUCACUAACUCUGAGGGGAGAAAUGUCCUCGGUUCUUGAUGGGCAACAAACUGCUAUGAAAGGACACGUCCCCUUUGGCUGAAGAUGAGAGAACAGGACAAGAGGGUGAGGCUAGGAGUCAUGUCUGGUGAAAAAGGAACAGCUAAUGCUCUUUGGGACGUCUGGCCAGAGGACACCCGUCAGAGCGUUGCAGUGCCUCCACGUAGCCCUCUGGUGUCUGGUGCUGCUGGGUAUACAGGACACGGAAUAUUCUCAAGGCAUGUGGGAGAUCAAGUUCCUUCUCAUACAGAUCCCUCAUUUACCAGCACUGGGUACGUCCACUGCGCACCCUCAGGGCUCCUCGUUGUGCAUUGCUGUGGCUCCAGAGAACAGAUCUGACUCUCAGUGUGUCCCUGUGGAUGUCUGGAGAAGGAAGUGUUGGCUGAAGGAGGUAUGUUUCCAGACUCUGGACAGCCAACGUGAGACCAAAGACCACAACAUACCGUGGUCAUGACCUAACUAUUUGAACAGGAGUCCUGUGUCUUCAUCUGUCUGCACACCAGCCCUUCGGCUCCUCUUUGUGAGUGCAGCCUGCUUGGAAGCAGCAGUGCUGUCCUACUUUGGUGGGUUUGCUCCUUGCACAGCAGAUGGAGAUCUCCUUCUGCAACUCUCUCCUGCCCAAGACAGUGACUGUUUUAUAUAUCUCACUACGCAUAAGCAGUAGAUGACCGUUUUCAGGGUUCAGACCCUUUGUGCUCCUCCACAGCUUUGGGAACUUUGCAAGAAAAUAACCUCAGUGCUUGUAGUUUGCACAGAAGAGAUCAGCAAAGAGAAAAUAGAAUCUUUCUUGGGAUCUGCAGUCAAAGGAGGGAGUUGAAGGUGCUGCCCACCAAGCAGAGGAAACAGUACAUGACAGAGACUUGAUUUUGAGUCUGUCUUUCACAUAAAUACACAGAAUAAGGAGGUUGAGUCCCAGCCAUCUCCUCUGCCCAUGGACUGCGAUGGGAGUGCCAGGACACUUCCCUAAGCAGUGCGCCAGAGCUCCCAAAAAUAGAGUCUGGAAAUGAUGUCUAUAGAAUGUGACCUGGAGAAACACUGUUUCUGGAGAUGGAAAGUGUGCUGAGCACUGCUGGGUAUUAGAGGAAUGACAUGGUUCUAGACAGAGUUGGAAGGAGACCUGUGGCAGAGCUCUGGACUUGGAGAAGUCUUCCGUGCAUUCAGAAGCUAUGUAGAGUAAAGAACUCUUUCACCUGGUUGAGUGUCUUUUGCAUCCUCCAAACCUCCCAGCUCAGUAAAAGUGCAGCCUGGCUGCCAACUAAGAGCAAAGACAUUUGAGCCAAGUGGUAUUUCAAGAGUCUCUAAAUCUCCUGGACUGAAUCUUUUUCUCAUAUGCUGAGAGACCUUGGCCUCAAGUAUUUUCCAGGCUCCUAGAAAAUGCCAUCCUGGUUAUGCUGUUAAACCAGCACUUCUUACACAGCAACUUAAAACAUUUUACAUUUUCUCAUUGCAAUGAGCUGGCAGUAAGCACAUCUUGUUCUCCUGCUUCUAAAUGUUUCUUCCAAAUCAUCUCUGCUGUCACACUUAAGCAGCUUGGUGAUAAUUUCGUAACUUCCCAUGGAGAAAGGGAAGGGUGUCUGCUUGCUGUGCAAUGAAAGUUCUAAUUUUAUCUGGCAGGUAGGGAGCAUGCUGAGGUUUUCAUUUAACCUUGUAGGAGAAUGACCUGUGUGACUAAUGGAUUUGAGGGAAAGUUCAGAAAAUGUAAAGAACAGAGGUUGCCGUGCUCUGACUUCAUGUUGGGGCCAUCUGGUUUCUGUGGCUCACACGAAAUGCUAUUGAAAGCAUGAAGCGAGGAGAGAGGACUGAAAAACCUUGCCAGUACCUGCCCUGUGUCGAUGAGUUCCUUUGGCUCCCAGUGUUGGGCAGGUGGUGAACAUGGGGAGGGUACCUCAGGUGGGCAAGCAACCCCCAAAAAUGCCUUGUGCUCAUGGGCUGGGUGCAAGCCCAGCAGAGUAUAAGGGUCAUAACACCCUUGGACAUGGCCACAGGAUGUGUCUGGGCUACCAGAGCUCACCCAGAGUGCCUGUGCUUGUUCCCGUGUUUGAGUCCUGAAUGCUGCCUCCUGCCUUCCUUCCUGUAAGAGGAAAGAAAUCCCUGUGUUUAGGUCACCACUGUGGUUGCCUAAUCCCAGUAGAGUUGUUUCUUGACAUCGAAUCAAUAGGAUCAAUUAGUCUCCUGACAUUGAGAGAGUCUCUGCAUAGAGAGAGCUCUCUGCAAAUUAUAAGAAAGUUGAAAGAGGAAAAAAUGGCACUUUUAUGGUGUGCCUCUUUGCUUCUUGUAUUUACUUCUUAUUUCGAAGAUUUAUUUGGAAACAGGAGGUUCUUUCAAUACACUUAGCACUGGUCCCUGCCAGCUAUGUCUCUCCGAAGCUGGCAGUCAUUUUCCAAAACAAAAGCUUUUACCUUUUCCCUUAUGGCUCGUCCCUAUUUAGGUCAAUAAAAAUGAGAUUGUAGAAAAGCUUUCUCCUCUUCUACACUGUAUUUGUUCUGCAUUUCUAUAUAAGCUUGUAAAAACAAGUGCUCAGAAAGCCUCUAAUGAAGACAUUACCUGCAUCUCUGGACUUUUCAUCUUACAGCUACCAUGUCAUUUGUACAUGAUUAUUAUUUUAUAAGCCCGAAAUCCCAGUGUAUUGACUAUAAUACCAUAAACACACGUGUAUUUUAGGUCACUGAGUGAAAAGCCACUGUCCUGUUGUUACCUGGCAAAGACAUUUUUGUUCUGCAUUGCUUCCCACCUGUUAGUAUCUGUUGAGAACCUGCGCUGUAAUGAACAAACUGUGAUUUUUCUUUGGCCUGGCUUUAUCCCCAUUUCCUGGAGAUUUGAAGAAAGGAGUGUGUACCCAUAAUGUUCAUGGGCAAUGGAGGGAAGGGAUGCUCUCAGGGCUGGGAAUCCAGGACAGAUCACAACUGGCAAACUCCUGAAAGCCCCCAGUAAUUCCUGAAGGGGUGGCUACCAUCCAAAGCUUAAGAAAACACUGCUUCACAAUACUUUAUAACACGGCUUCAUUGGGGGACACUGUCAGAUUCAAGCACAUCUCAUUCCUUCUUGAAAAGUCCUUUACCAGAGCAAGAGCACAAGCACACGGCCACCCAACCCAACCUAACACCACAUAUGCCUCACUGCAGCGCAUCCCCUGAAUCCGGGUCCAGCAGACAGUGUGGCUCCAGACUGCAAAUCUCCUCCAGGAGUCAAGCUCCCUGCCUCAUAAACACAGAAUCCGUCAAGCCGAUGGAUGCAAGACCUCCGGGCCAUUAUUAGCCAAUAUGAAGCUAAUAAAAGACUCUAUAAACCAACCCAUGAUAAAUAAUUUUACAAGGAAGGCUAUGGCGGUGUACAGCUUGUUUGGAGUCUGAAAGCUCCUGUAAUGUGCUGCCAAGAGGAUUAAAUGCUAUCGCUGUUUUUCAGGCACUGUGCAGUGUGCCAGGGGGUAUGUGUGGUUUCUCUUUGGUGGGUUGGUGAGGAGUUUGGUUGCUCAGACAUGGAGAGAGAAGUUCCACACGUGUACAGCAUCUCUGGGAGCAAUGGGCUGACAGUGAACUGGGACAACUGAACUGAGCCAAGCAUGGCACAGUAUCUAUUUUACACGUUAUCUUUCUGCCAAAGCUUGCAGGCUGGGGGGGCUUUGAUACUGCAACAGGCUUUAACUCAGAGCUCUUAGCCAUCGGUGCAGAUUGAAGGCAGCCUUAAGGGUAGGAGCUUAUCCCCACUAGCAGCACACUGACAUGGGCACAGGAUGGCUGCAAGGGUGACAAUGGCUUUAGAGGUCCGACCUGACGCAUAUAUACUGUGAGAUCCGGGAGAUGGAAUCUGAGUGAGGUCCUAGGAGAAACAAGGGCAAGUUGACCC
Long non-coding RNA from Numida meleagris (helmeted guineafowl), 3980 nucleotides. RefSeq lists it as uncharacterized. The record is from RefSeq and is a predicted model, not a curated record. Lineage: Eukaryota; Metazoa; Chordata; Aves; Galliformes; Numididae. The transcript is spliced from 4 exons.